Molecule: ribosomal RNA, 406 nt
Filed under: uncultured bacterium
Lineage: Bacteria
Description: partial 16S ribosomal RNA
Rfam family: Bacterial small subunit ribosomal RNA
Source: RNAcentral
AUUGAACGCUGGCGGCAGGCCUAACACAUGCAAGUCGAACGAGUGGCGGACGGGUGAGUAAUGUCUGGGAAACUGCCCGAUGGCGGGGGAUAACUACUGGAAACGGUAGCUAAUACCGCAUACCAUCGGAUGUGCCCAGAUGGGAUUAGCUAGUGGGUGGGGUAACGGCUCACCUAGGCGACGAUCCCUAGCUGGUCUGAGAGGAUGACCAGCCACACUGGAACUGAGACACGGUCCAGACUCCUACGGGAGGCAGCAGUGGGGAAUAUUGCACAAUGGGCGCAAGCCUGAUGCAGCCAUGCCGCGUGUAUGAAGAAGGCCUUCGGGUUGUAAAGUACUUUCAGCGAGGAGGCGUUACCCACAGAAAAAGCAACGGCUAACUCCGUGCCAGCAGCCGCGGUAAUAC